Long non-coding RNA from Conger conger (European conger), 784 nucleotides. RefSeq lists it as uncharacterized. NCBI's taxonomy places the organism in Eukaryota, Metazoa, Chordata, Actinopteri, Anguilliformes, Congridae. The transcript is spliced from 2 exons. The record is from RefSeq and is a predicted model, not a curated record.
UUUCCCAGAACUAACUCAAAAAUAUGAGGCCGUAAAACACCCAAUAAAUUGGCAAAAUCUGUAUUUCAUGUAUGUGUCUGACUAGAUCCUAGAUACUUGCUAUUGUUUUGCACAUCCGAUCAUUUGAAAGUUGUUAUUUGUAAUGUGUUUACUUAUUAAUCUUUUCUCUAUGACACAGAUCUCACUUUUCUGAACACUGUGAACACAAAAAAUCUGAUUUGGGAUUUGUAUAGGUAUUGUUACUAUGUAUAGGUAUUGUUGUUUUUUAUUGGCUGUUGUAUUGUUGUAUUCUAGUUGCCAACUGUGGUGUGCUAGUUUGAAAGUUGAUUGUACUCUUCAAGGGUUCUGAUUUUCUGCAUGUUUACACUAGGACUCGGAACUGUACUGUCCUCUCAGGUGCAGUGAAGACUGCAGACCCACUGAGAAGCUUUCCAAGGAAGCGUAUAUCUGCUCAGAAAGUUUCCAAAUCCAAGUUGCCAAGUUGGCAAAAAUGCUGGCAGUCAAUGUGCUGUAUCUGAAAAAAAUCUAUCUUGUUAAACUGAAUCGAAAAUAGGAUUAUACUUUGUGAAAGUUUCUCUCUCAGUUUAUUUUGCGAACACCUUGCACCUCUUCUUCUUUUAGCUGUCCCCUGUCUCUCUUCCAGCUGAUUCAGCCAUUCUCUGACAUCUUCAGUUUGAAUGCAUUGUCAAAAAAGAAAAUCUAGAAAAAACGUUUAGCACUGUUACAAAAUACUAUACAUGUGGAAACAAAAAUAAACAAAAAUAAAAUGUUUUUAUUCAGCCAA